This is a long non-coding RNA of Alligator mississippiensis (American alligator), 6364 nucleotides long. RefSeq lists it as uncharacterized. NCBI's taxonomy places the organism in Eukaryota, Metazoa, Chordata, Crocodylia, Alligatoridae. The transcript is spliced from 5 exons. The record is from RefSeq and is a predicted model, not a curated record.
AGCAGGAUGCGUUUCAAUACUGACAAGUGCAGGGUGCUGCACUUGGGCAGUAGUAACCGGCAGCACACUUAUAAGAUGGGAAACUCCCUCCUUGAGAGCACGGAGGCAGAAAGGGAUCUUGGAGUCAUCGCUGAUUCCAAGAUGAACAUGGGCCGACAAUGCGAGGUCACGGUUGGCAGGGUUAACCGGACCCUAUCGUGCAUCCACAGGUGCAUCUCAAGUAGGGCCAAGGAGGUGAUCCUCCCCUUCUAUGUGACACUGGUGAGGCCACAGCUGGAGUACUGUGUCCAGUUCUGGGCACCCCACUUCAAGAGGGUUGUGGACAACAUUGAGAGGGUCCAGAGGAGGGCCACCUGCAUGAUCUGGGGACAGCAAGGCAGACCCUACAAUGAGAGGCUAUGGGACCUGAACCUGUUCAGCCUUCACAAGAGAAGGCUGAGGGGGGAGCUGGUGACCGUCUAUAAACUCACUAGGAGGGACCAGAAGGGUUUGGGGGAGACCUUGUUUCCCCUAGCGCCCCCUGGGAUAACAAGGAAUAAUGGCUACAAGUUGUUGGAGAAUAGGUUUAGAUUAGACAUCCGUAAGAACUACUUCACAGUUAGGGCAGCUAGGAUCUGGAACCAACUUCCAAGGGAAGUGGUGCUGGCUCCUACCCUGGGGGUCUUUAAGAAGAGGCUUGAUGCCUACUUGGCUGGGGUCAUUUGAGCCCAGUUUUCCUCCUGCCCAUGCACGGGGUCAGACUUGAAGAUCUACAAGGUCCCUCCAACCCUACUUCUAUGAUUCUAUGAUUCUAUGAAGUCUGCUGGAGUAUGGUAAUUACCGAACUUCAGCAAACUCCAGCAUCUCAUGGCAGUGGGGCACUUUAAAGCUAGUUUGAUAAACUUUUAUUAAAGUGCCCCCACCACCAUUUUUCAGCAUGGGGAUGCUGAUACACAAGAUGCUCUGGGAACUUUAAUUAGAGCGUCUCUUGGAGCCACUCUAAUUGCUAAAUGAGAUCCUCAAUGCCGCUUUAAAAGCCUUACUAGGAACCUACAUUUCUCCUGUAAAGGUGCUUAAAAUUUUGCCUCUUGGCAUGUGCCAAGCUGCUCAUUACUUUAGGACCUGAUCCAGACUGUUCCCACAGGGGUCUCCUUUUAGACAUUGCAACACCUAGAAAUAAUGUGCCUGGCUCCAGGACAGUAAACCACAAAGUUGCUAUCAGGUGCCUGCAUUCCCAUACAGUCAAUGGGGAGAGUUAGCUGCUAAAAGGACUGGGGUGCUUCUGAUGGGAAGUACCUAGAACUAUCCAGCAGUCAGGACUGGGAGUAGGAGUGGGCACAUGUGUGCAGUGAGUGCACGUGUGCCCUCAGCACACUCACCUGGGACCAGCAUCAGUAGUGGUGGCAGCAACAGCAGCUGAAAGGUAAGCAGGGUGCAGGGGUGGGUGCAGCUGCAGUGGAUCUGGAGGUAAAGCCCCCAGAUCCCAUUUAAAAAGAAGAGCAGGGAGCCACAUGUAAACAGAGUGUGCAAACAGGUGUGCCCUGUAAGGGUGCACUGGCAUUUGCGCAAGGUGGGCAAGCAGGAGAAGUCAGGUCAGAGACUUUGGCAGGGGAGAGAGGCAAACACUUCACUCUACAAUAAUGGUAAGGACAUGUUGGGCUGCCAGGGACCCAACCCUAGUGAUACUGCCUGCCCAGGGCUUCUCUGAGGCCUCCAUCCAGAUGGAGCCUGCAGGGAGGUUAAAGCUACUCUCCCCUCCUGUCUGUGAGGGCUGCCUGGUGGGGCCUCUGCAGCCUGGGUGGGGAGUGGGAGCUCCCUUGUCUAUCCUACAUCUGCCCACCUUCAGGGCAGGUGAGGGAAGUCCAGGUGGAGGUCAGCAGGCUGAGGGGAAUCAGGGCUGCCAAGGAUGAAAUUGACAGGUAUGUCUGUUGUCUGCAGGUUCAAGUACUUUGUGGAAAGGAACCCCUGGAGGAACCCAAUGCAGUGGUAUGGCAAAUGGUUACCACCAGGGCCAGGGCUACUCAUGCUGCCACAGUGUUGUUCCCCCCGUUAUAACUGGAGAACAGGUAUGAGGCCCUGGCAGCACUGGAGGAAGAGACAGGCGAGGAUGACUCCAGAGGAGCCGAUGCCACUCCAUGCAUAGUGCAGACUGAGCGAUGCCAGAGCACCCAGAAGAAGAGAUGCCGGAUCCUUGUCAUGGGUGACUCCUUCCUGAGAGGAAUGGAGGGACCCACCUGUCACCCAGACCCCAUGGAAUACAUGGAUGGUGCCAUGAGGCCUGCAUCGGAGAGGUCAACUGGCAGCUUCAGAGCUGGCGUUACUGGGUUGGCUGAUCUAGUACAAUGAGCUUUAGACUUAGUUCAUUGGAGGAUGGGGAUGCAGUGGUACAGGAGGAUACUUCAACAUCAAACCAGGUGACACAAGCAGGAACAACCCAGGUAAGUGACAAGGGCCCGGGCUAACUUGGGUACAAGAGGGCAGCAUGAACACCCAUAGGAGGUCUCAACUGCCUCUACACAAAUGCUAGAAGUAUGGGGAAUAAGCAGGAGGAACUCGCCCUCCUGCUAGCUAGCAAAAACGCAGACCUGCUUGGGCUUAUAGAAACCUAGUGGGAUUCUACCCAUGACUGGGCAGUAGACAUUGAGGGCUAUAGGUUGUAUAGAUGAGAGCGCUACACACCUCCCCUUUUCUCCCUACUCUAUGUUAAAGUGCACAUCUUCAGUGAUCAGGAUGGGUUCAGAAGAGGGGCAAACUGAGGCGCUCUGGGUUAGAAUGCAAGGGGGUCAUGGGGAAAGGGACUUGAUAGUGGGCAUCUACUACAGACCACCUCACCAGGGGGAUGAGCUGGACCUAGAAUUUUUUUCAGGUCAGCUCAUGGAAGCUCUAAGGACAAGGGAUGUGGUUGUCAUGGGUGACCUAAACUACCCAGACAUCUGCUGGGAGGAUCAGUCAGCCAAAUCUGAAUGCUUACAUAAGUUUUUAUCCUGCAUACAGGACCUCCAGCUAACCCAGGAGGUAUAUAAUCCCACCAGAGUAAAUGUCUUGCUGGACUUGGUCCUUGCCACAGGUGAUGACCUGGUGAGGGAUCUGUGGGUGCUCGACUACCUAGGUGUUAGUGACCAUUGCCUGCUGGAAUUUACUAUCUAGCUCAGGGUGGUGAAAGCAAGCAGUAAGGCAAAAGUCCUUGUCUUCAGGAGGGCUGGCUUCAGUGAGCUAAGGAGAUUACUAAAAGAGACACUGGGGACUUGGAGCUUCAAUGAGAUACAAGUCCAGACCAGUGGUUGUUCCUUAAGGAGACAAUCCUCUGAGCUCAGAGGAAGUCAGUUCCAAUGCAAACCAUAGAAGGCAAGAGUGCUAAAAAGCCACCUUGGCUCAGUAAAGGCAUCCAGGAGGGCCUGAGGGCAAAAAAGGUGGCAUACAAUCAGUAGAAGCAAGUGGCAAUCACCAAGGAGAAUUGCACCUCCAUUGCUCAUGAUUGCAGGGAGGCAGUUAGGAAGGCCAAGGCUGAGACGGAACUAGGGCUGGCGACCAGAAUGAAGUCCUUUUUUAAACACGCAGGGAGUAAGAAGGCACCAGGUAACAUGGGGCACCUACAGGACAGGCAUGGCAAUCUGGUGAUUGCAGCAAAGGAAAAAGCUGAUCUCUUCAAUGAGUUCUUUGCCUCCAUGUUUCUGAGCAGGGACCAGGACAACUCCCCCACUUGGAUUAUGGACAGGCUCAGGGAACAUGAUGCUAUGCCUUGGACCAGGUCACACAGUCCUUGGAUGCAGGCGUUGAGAGAAUCAGAGCUCCCUCUGUCAACACUGGAUUUAUGACCCAGAUACUAGGACCCAAACCCUCAGAUCGACCACGACUUCUUUUCAACAAUAGGCAGUUCUUUUGAUACACAGAGAUAGCUGAUAGGAGUAAUGCAGGCAAGGCAAAAGAAAUAACACCCCUGGUCUAUAUUUACUAGUCCUAGAGUUCAAUAGGAAAGGUACAUCUGGCCAGUACGGGAGCUUCACCCUAUGGUUCUUUCUUCAAUGUCAGAUGUCAGCAGCCUUGGAGCUUGAGGGCGGAGGCCCACUCCCCACCCUGAUGGGGUGCAAGAGACAGGCUGGUGGUGUGCCCUCUGUCCAUGGUGGGUGUUGUGUCUUAUUGUGUCAUCCUUGUACUGUCCUUUUAAGGCCAAAGCCCUCAUGUUCAGCACUGCAGAUUCAUUUUACUUUGUGGCAGUUUUGCAGUACUGGGGACUCCAUGUUCUCUGCCAUGAGGAGCCAGAGGCAUUCUUGGUUCCUCUCUCUCCACAGGACUGGACUGGGUCAAGUCAGAGACAGAGCAUGUAUAAGAUCUGUAUACAUAUAUUGAUGCAAUUGUUAAGAUCCACCCUGGAUAUGAUUCCAGAGAGUUAUAAUAAUAAAUAACUGUUAGUUCAACACAGGAGUGUCCAAAGUGUUGUUGCUGAACCCACAACAUAUCAGUGGCUUCCUGAUCCCCCCUCAGGGACUUUUUGCUGCUCUGAAAUCUCUCCUUUUGUAUUCUUUUUUUCCUCUGAUGACUCUUCAUUGCAAGGUACUGUUGACCGAUUUCCCUGUGGUUGUCAUACUGUUCUGUUCUGUUCUGUCAGCGUAUUCCUUUGUUGCAACAAACCGAACACAUGCACGCACCUUAAUUUGGUCAUUUACCGGUGUCAUUGACCUCCCUGCCCCACUCUGCUGAGGAGCCCCUGGGGGGAGGGCAGUACGGCAGGGAGCACCAAGCCCACACUGGGCAGCCUGCAUCAACCCUUGCCCCAUGCACAAAUCUGGGGGGCAUGUGCUCCCCCUAUGCCUCCCUCCCUGGGAGUGUGUGUGGCAGCAGGGAGCCAGCUCCCCUGCUGCCCCCCAAAUGAGCUGCUUGUGGCUCCCCUCCCACUCCCCGGCCAGACCCUGCAGCCUUGCAUUCCUGCCCUGGCCCUGAUUUCAUGCACUGCCCCAGCUGGGCAGCACCCUCAGCCCCAGUCCCGGCCCUGUCCUACUCCCUCCCUCCUUCACUGUGGGGGCCUAAAUCUGCUACCCCACCCCCAGGCUUAAUUGGAGGGAGCUGCAGGAGCUGCCCCCAGCCCUUUGCAGGAUGGAACUCUGCCAGCAUGCAAGGGAAAACCUGCCCGUUCCCUGCUUUUUUUUUUUUCCCCUUAAAACGGGAAAAUUCACAUUCUUCUCCCUAUAAGGGGAAAAUCCAUGUUUUCCUGCAAUUUUCUGUGUUGAAUUGAAAACCCGGAUUCCUGGUUAUAACUAUAGAAACACAAUGCAAUAAUAUCACUGCACAGGCAACAAUAGUAUCAGAGGGAAAUAUAGUGUUUUGUCUCUUUCUUUAAGAGAGUAAAAUAAGUUUCCAAGUAUACUAAAGAUUUGAUUUAUUGACCCAGCUUUGAAAUUAAUGUUUUCCAGCUGAUUUUUUUCCCCUGUAGCAAAACCCACAAUUUUUCUUUUUUUUUUCUUUUAAAAUGCAUUCCCUCCCCUUCCUCAACCAUUUCUGACUUUGUCUCUCCCUCUCUAUUCCCUAUAGAUAAGUGUAAGUGAGCUAAGAUGUAGGAUAAGCUUUAACAUUUUAUUUUAGGUAGUAAGUUUUAUUUCUCUCCCUCUGCAAAUAAGUGCCCUGCUAUUUUGAUAUAGAUAUCCACUGUUUUAUAAGUGAUAAUUAUUAUGUUUGUACUGAUUUUUUUACUUCUUUUAUAUUAUGUGAUUACUGUUUUAGGCCUAUAUAUGUAAGUUAGCAUAAGUCAUGUCAAGUUGCCAUCUUGUAAUGUCAAGCCUCCAUCUUAUCCCCAUGCCCGGUUGUGUAACCUAUGACUCAUACUACCCCUCCUAUGUAACUUGGUUCCUGAAUGAAUGGGGAUGAAUGAGGGUGCUUGAGAGACAAUGGCAGUAGGUCUAAAAAUAGCUCCUUCUGAAUGACAGAACUAACAACACCAAUACCUGGGCCAAUGACCCAGCCAUUGGAACCACCCUCAGCAUUCAAGACACAAAAGAUGAGGCAACCCACUAGUGUGCCAGGCUGCACAUGCUCAGUAAGAACACCUGGAACCCUCUGGAACAGGACUGACAUUGCCCUCCCCAUAGGAGAUCAUAGGUAGUCUGCCCCAUAAAAAGUGGUAGUGAAGACUGACUCCUUGGGAACGCCAUUUCCAUCUGGACCAGACCAGCUCCACGUCACACCACCUAUCCACCCACCUCUGGACAACACCGAGCUGAAGGAGACCCUGACUGGCCAUUGAGUACCCACUUUCAGUCUGGGAUAGGUAGAUAUCACCUGCAUAUUUCCUCCUCCAAUUUGAACUCUAUCUCUGUCCUCCUGGACUUCAGCCCCUGCAGCAAGCCUCUUUAACCCCUGCUGCCAUUGUGUGUGUGUGUGUGUGUGUGUGUGU